AGCUUUGCACAGUGGCAGUAUCAUAGCCAAUGAGGUUUAUCUGAGAUGUGAUGAUUGCUAAUUGAAAAUGUCUUUCCUUUUUGGCUUUAGAAUCUUAGAAUUUAUUAGAUUAUCUAGGGAAA
Molecule: small nuclear RNA, 122 nt
Organism: Heterocephalus glaber (naked mole-rat)
Lineage: Eukaryota; Metazoa; Chordata; Mammalia; Rodentia; Bathyergidae
Gene: U4
Rfam family: U4 spliceosomal RNA
About the family: U4 small nuclear RNA (U4 snRNA) is a component of the major U2-dependent spliceosome. The structure of U4 snRNA from yeast and human has been reported. U4 snRNA presents a k-turn RNA motif in the 5p-SL related to recognition of Snu13 protein.
Source: Ensembl